GUAGUCCACGCCCUAAACGAUGUCUACUUGCUGUUGGUUCCGAAUGGAAUAAGUAGCGAAGCAAACGCGAGAAGUAGACCGCCUGGGGAGUACGGUCGCAAGAUUAAAACUCAAAGGAAUUGACGGGGACCCGCACAAGCGGUGGAUGAUGUGGAUUAAUUCGAUGCAACGCGAAGAACCUUACCUGCUCUUGACAUGCCAGGAAUCCGGAAGAGAUUUUGGAGUGCCGCAAGGAACCUGGACACAGGUGCUGCAUGGCUGUCGUCAGCUCGUGUCGUGAGAUGUUGUCUUAAGUGACGCAACGAGCGCAACCCUUGCCACUAGUUGCCCCAAUUAAGUUUGGCACUUUAGUGGGACUGCUGGAAUAGAAUCCAGA
Molecule: ribosomal RNA, 376 nt
Filed under: uncultured bacterium
Lineage: Bacteria
Description: bacterial SSU rRNA
Rfam family: Bacterial small subunit ribosomal RNA
Source: RNAcentral